UUUGGCGUUGUAUAGUGGUAAGUAUUCUCACCUAUCACGCGGGUGACCCGAGUUUGAUCCCCGGCAAUGACGCCAAAA
This is a non-coding RNA of Ilex paraguariensis (yerba mate), 78 nucleotides long. NCBI's taxonomy places the organism in Eukaryota, Viridiplantae, Streptophyta, Magnoliopsida, Aquifoliales, Aquifoliaceae. The record is from the annotation of a GenBank genome assembly.